Molecule: ribosomal RNA, 253 nt
Filed under: uncultured bacterium
Lineage: Bacteria
Description: partial 16S ribosomal RNA
Rfam family: Bacterial small subunit ribosomal RNA
Source: RNAcentral
UACGUAGGGUCCGAGCGUUGUCCGGAUUUAUUGGGCGUAAAGAGCUCGUAGGCGGCUCGUCGCGUCGACUGUGAAAUCCCGCGGCUCAACCGCGGGUCUGCAGUCGAUACGGGCAGGCUAGAGUUCGGUAGGGGAGACUGGAAUUCCUGGUGUAGCGGUGAAAUGCGCAGAUAUCAGGAGGAACACCGAUGGCGAAGGCAGGUCUCUGGGCCGAUACUGACGCUGAGGAGCGAAAGCGUGGGGAGCGAACAGG